GUUGUGUUUGGGGAGGUGACCGUGCGUGUACAGCAUUCGCUGGGGAUCUCUGCUCUGAUAACUGCACUCCCCCAUAGAGAAAACUCUGCUCCAGUCUGCCCCUUCCAGGGGAGCUCUACAGCCUCAGGGCGCACCUGUGGCUCAGGUUUUCGUAUCUCUUUCUGAUACUGGAACCAUGUCCUUGAUGGCUCGUGGCUGGGCCUAAAUCUUGUUACAAAGUAGUCAAGCAGACAUUUAGAUUAUAGAUAUUUUUCUUAUUGCCUUUUAGUCUGGCCAAAAUGCUUAUUUUCACAUUUAGCAGAAUAGCUCAGGCCUUUCAGCCUUUAUUUAUAUUUGGCCCUGAAGGCGCUGGGCUCAGACCCAGGGAGGCACUUAGGCUCCCACGUGAUUUCAGUAGGACAUUGAUUCUUUAUAUUUUUAUAAAAGCUGCUUUCAUUCUGUUUUAAUCCUGGACCUGGUCAUACCUGUGCAUGCGCUGAUAUCUGUGUCGUGCUCUCCAAAAUGAGUUGGCAGUGGAUAACAGUUACUUUGAGGUUGUCAGGGGGUCUCUGGUUAUCUGCCCUCGGUGUCAUGCAUUGAUUCCCAGCGUACAGCAUCCACUUUGGGGGCAUUUCCUCCAUGCAAAAAUUUUGCAUUAGCAAAACAUUUCUGCAAUUUAAUUAAAUGUCACAAAUGUUGUUUUCUGUGCCAGUUACAAUUGCUCGAUUUGCUCUCAGCUGGCAUGGCUUCUUCUGGAUCUCUUUGUGCUGUUUCUGGUCCAGCAGGUCUUGAUGCUGAGGAUCUGGGACAGUUCCUAUUUCCCUGUGUGAAUUUUCAUUGGGAGUUUUCCCCCAAAAUCCAUUCUGCAAAAUGUUUGUUGUUUCCUUCCGUCCGCUCUUUGCAGAUGCCUGUGGGCCAAUUUUAGAGGCUGCCUUUGGAAGCUGUGAUCGUGGCUGUCCUUCACAAGAGGUCAGGUUAAUUUGGGAAUCACCCCUGGCACGUCACAGAUUUCCAGAUCUGUCUCAAUGAGCCUAUUUUAGGACAACUGCGAGGCUUCUAGAAGGAUCUUCCCCUGAGGAUGAGCAGUGUGAGCAGCACGCCAGCACUUGUGCUUCCUGAUCUGGAGACUGCACGUGUUUUCUUAUUCAGAGAGGUCUAACAACAUUCUUAACAGCUUUGGGAAUAAAUUGGGGUCUUUGCAAUGUCAAACUA
Long non-coding RNA from Tympanuchus pallidicinctus (lesser prairie-chicken), 1191 nucleotides. RefSeq lists it as uncharacterized. The record is from RefSeq and is a predicted model, not a curated record. The transcript is spliced from 2 exons. NCBI's taxonomy places the organism in Eukaryota, Metazoa, Chordata, Aves, Galliformes, Phasianidae.